RNAcentral lists this ribosomal RNA (523 nucleotides) under uncultured bacterium. RNAcentral's name for it is "partial 16S ribosomal RNA". It matches the Rfam family "Bacterial small subunit ribosomal RNA", at positions 28 to 523 of the family's 1533-position model. The record is from RNAcentral.
GACGAACGCUGGCGGCGUGCCUAAUACAUGCAAGUCGAACGCUUUUUCUUUCACCGGAGCUUGCUCCACCGAAAGAAAAAGAGUGGCGAACGGGUGAGUAACACGUGGGUAACCUGCCCAUCAGAAGGGGAUAACACUUGGAAACAGGUGCUAAUACCGUAUAACACUAUUUUCCGCAUGGAAGAAAGUUGAAAGGCGCUUUUGCGUCACUGAUGGAUGGACCCGCGGUGCAUUAGCUAGUUGGUGAGGUAACGGCUCACCAAGGCAACGAUGCAUAGCCGACCUGAGAGGGUGGUGGGCCACACUGGGACUGAGACACGGCCCAGACUCCUGCGGGAGGCAGCAGUAGGGAAUCUUCGGCAAUGGACGAAAGUCUGACCGAGCAACGCCGCGUGAGUGAAGAAGGUUUUCGGAUCGUAAAACUCUGUUGUUAGAGAAGAACAAGGAUGAGAGUAAAAUGUUCAUCCCUUGACGGUAUCUAACCAGAAAGCCACGGCUAACUACGUGCCAGCCGCCGCAGUAA